Long non-coding RNA from Lingula anatina, 576 nucleotides. NCBI's taxonomy places the organism in Eukaryota, Metazoa, Brachiopoda, Lingulata, Lingulida, Lingulidae. The record is from RefSeq and is a predicted model, not a curated record.
AGCAAUUGACAUAACUAUUUUUUGUAGGUUGGAAAAGUCGUGAAAGUGUCCCCAAACUAGUGGAGGAUUACUUGAAAGGAAUAGUUAAAGUAGAUGAGUUUGUGAGUCACAACAUGCCCCUGGAAAAAAUCAAUGAAGCAUUUGACCUUAUGCAUUCUGGGCAGAGUAUCCGUUCUGUGGUCAACAUGUGAAGAGGCUUCUUGCUUAACACACCAGGACUGUGCUAUUUGAUACUUAUAAUGCAGACUUGGAGGGCAGCAAAUUAUGAAACAAAUUGUAAAACCUACAGGGUAUUACCCAAUUUAUCUAGUUUUUUCCCUUUAAUCUAGAAAAGAUGAACUUUAAUAUUACAGCCUCCUAAAAUGCUGUUAAUCAUUGGGAACCAAGAAAGAUUUGAAAGUAAUUAUGCUCCCAGAAUGCUGUUAAUCAUUGGAAAACUUAUGGUGAAAAUUAUAACAAACAUCAGAAAAAUUACUUAACUGACAAAAUGCUAUUUGUUAGCGGAGACAUCCAAGGGUUAUUUAUGUCAAGGGUCACUUUUUCUGUAUCAGUGCCAAUAAAAGGUUACUACGGUUA